CUCUAAAAAGUAUUUGUGUACAUUUGCCUUCCAAGCAAAAAGGCUAGCAUGUGUUAGUUUAGAGA
RNAcentral lists this transfer RNA (65 nucleotides) under Nembrotha kubaryana. RNAcentral describes it as "tRNA-Gly". The record is from RNAcentral. Lineage: Eukaryota; Metazoa; Mollusca; Gastropoda; Nudibranchia; Polyceridae.